This 428-nucleotide ribosomal RNA is filed under the name uncultured bacterium. RNAcentral's name for it is "partial 16S ribosomal RNA". It matches the Rfam family "Bacterial small subunit ribosomal RNA", at positions 354 to 796 of the family's 1533-position model. The record is from RNAcentral.
GUCGGGAGUCUUGCACAAUGGGGGAAACCCUGAUGCAGCGACGUCGCGUGUGGGAUGAAGUAUUUCGGUAUGUAAACCACUUUUGCGGGGGGCGAAAAAAAUGACGGUACCCCGCGAAUAAGCCCCGGCUAACUACGUGCCAGCAGCCGCGGUAAUACGUAGGGGGCGAGCGUUGCUCGGAUUGACUGGGCGUAAAGCGCGCGUAGGCGGUCCAUUAAGUGUGCGGGGAAAUUCGGAGGCUCAACCUCCGUCCCGCCGCGCAAACUGAUGGUCUUGAGAUUGGGAGGGGGAUGCGGAAUUCCUGGUGUAGCGGUGAAAUGCAUUGAUAUCAGGAGGAACACCGGCGGCGAAAGCGGCAUCCUGGCUUAUAUCUGACGCUGAGGCGCGAAAGCGUGGGUAGCAAACGGGAUUAGAAACCCCGGUAGUCC